UGAUCUCUCAGCGUUUCCCUCUAUAUCCGACUCCGGGUUUUUAUUAUCUAGACCAAUUAAGGAAUCCAUUUACAAACUCGGGAGAAGAAAGGGUUUAUCUUACUUACAGGUUAUAUCUAGUCCACCAUCAAAGGAAACCAGGGAAGAAACUGAAGCGGAGGCCAUGGAGAAAUGCUACUUGCUGGCUUGCUCAGGCCCAUCUGCACAGGCAUGGCACCGCCCACCGUGAGCUGCACCGCCCACCCCAGCUAGUAAUCAAGGAACUGCCCCACAGAGGAGCCGAGCCGAAGGCAGCUUGCCUUUGAUGGAGGCAGCUCCUCAUCAGAGGUCCCCUCUCUCCAGGUCUCUCUGCUUUGUGUCAAGUUGUCUAAAACCAAACAGUGCAACCUCAAAUAAGCAGAAAAGGACCAAGAGGCCCAGAGGCACAAUUUCUGUGGGCACUUUGGCCCUGCGUGUGCCAUCCCUUGUAAAGACUUCGUGAUGAGCUUCAGCCUGUGUCUCCUGAACUGUGCUCUGUCCAGUGGCUCCUGAUUCUAAGCAGCAGGCUUUAUAAAAUAAAACACACAUUUUUAUCUCACAAAGGCCAAAGAUUCUUCAAUUUUUUUCCCCAAAGCUCCUCUGAUAUCCGUUGGAUCUUUACAGGGAAUGGCAGGCCAUGAAAAUAGGUAUGGAUUCAGAAACCGUCUGUGAGGAACCCAAGAGCACAACGUUACCCCACAGUGCCUGCCUCACAAACUUUCAGCCUUGGAGAUUUCAAGUGAGAGAAGAUAAAAAGUUCCCUGCCUCAAGUUGGACAUCUGAAGUCCUGUGCUGCCUGAAGGGGAUAGAGACAGACACAUAACCUACAUCUUCAAGACGAUGGCUUGUCCAAAGGCUGAGGACAACUCCAGUUCAGGGGUUAGAAGGCCCAUCGGGUCCAUCACAGCUCUGUGCAGAGUCCCCUAGAGUGCUCAGGCGUCUUACUACUGGCUCCUUUGACUCCCACAGCAAGAAACAGACAGUCCUCUGGGUCCCCAACAGUGGGACCUAAGCUGAUGCCACAGGCUCCAUCUGCAGCUACUAUUUAUUUAUUGUCCUAUUAUCAAUAAAAACUUGGGAGUCGGGUAUUGGGGUAGAAACCCAAUAGAUCAAGAAAGCGACAGAAGAACGACCAACCUACCCCCUCUCUCCAUGCCUCCCUGAUCAAAGGGGCCCUUGGAUCUUUCUAAGCCCCUCCCUACUCUUUCCUGUGCUUCUCUAUCCUAUCCUGGGUCCUCCAAGAUCUCUAUGGCUAAUUUAAGUCAGCUAGUCAUUGACUCCACCCCCCCCCCAUUCAAGGUCAACUUUAUUAACAGUCUCCGGAGUGUCACGGUGUGAUCAAAUAUCCCCGCCACAUCCAUCUUCGCCACGCAGCCCCCAAGGCUGCGCUGAGCAUUGUGCUUGAACUAACAGAACAGAGAUGGGGUCACACAAGGAAGGCAAUUAUUCAAAAUGCUGCCCUAUGUCGUUGGCUGGAAGUCAGUCACAUGACUCUCUCUCUCUCUCUCUCUCUCUCUCUCUCUCUCUCUCUCUCUCUCUCUUUCUCUCUCUCCCUCUCUCUCUCUCUGGAAGGAGGUCUGGAAAUGCGGCCUGGCUGUGUACACAGGAAUGAGAGAGCAGAAAGCCGGGUGGAUGAGAGUCAACUUUGCCUUGCUCCCGGACUUCACAGCUGUUGUCUUGGAGACCUGAAGAUGCCCAUCAGUAGUCCCCCCUUGCCUCACCCUGCCUUCCUGCCCAUCUCCCUGUCUGCCGGCACCGCUGCUCUGCCCUUCACACUACAUACAGCUUACGGCCUUUCCAUGGGUGUCUGCUACCUCAACCCAGAAGAACAGUAUGUACUUACUCGUACUUCAAAACUGUGCCUGUGGAGUUGGGCCUGUGGGUCAGACAGACCUGUAAUAGUAAUUACUCAGGAGGCUGAGCAGAAGCUCAAGCCUGUCUGGGCAGCAGAGUGAAGUCAAGCCUAGUUCCAGUAAAUUAGUAAGCCCCUGCCUCAAAAUAGUAUUUAUGAAGGGGACUGUGUGGUUCAGUGCUUGCCUGGCCCCAGGCAUCAUCCCCAACACUGAAAAGAAAACACAAAAAAGAAAACUCCACUCUUGGGGACUUUUACAACCCAGUAGGUAAAACCCGAACAGCCCAAAUCAGCAUUUAGACACGGGAAGCUCCCUUCCUCCCCUUCACUCCCAACUCCGGCCACGCUGUGGGACCACAGCUGCCACAGUUACUACCCUGUCCAGGAGAGGGCAUAGUCGCACUUGAUUCAGUGUCCAUGUCUUGGGGAAGAGAGGCAGAAAUGGGGUCUGCUUCCGUCUUUGGGCACACGGCGUGAAGAUGUUGGGAACUUGGAGAUAGAGGGCAGCCUGCCUGGCUGAGCCCAUGGCUGAGAGCAGGGUCACAGCUCCCACCGAGACUGGGUGGGCUGUCAGCUGUGUUGGGAUUUAUUUGGUCACUAAAGUGUGUAGACCCGAGCGGCCUGACUUUCCCCUGGGGCUUUUAUCCUGUGUCCCUCUCCCUCAGUGCCCUGAACCUGGAAAUAUCAAAGACUGGAAGUGUGCCCGAGGUACCAGGAAGCAGGUCCCCGCAUUGACCUGUUGAUAUGUUUAUUAUAUUAUAUAUAUGUUUAUUUAUAUUAUAUUACAUUAUAUUAUAGUGCCAUCCUCAUGCAAGUAUGCAAAGUAUAGUGAGCACACUCUGUCCCUGUACCCACUUCUCUCCCCUCCCGAUCCGCCCACCCCUGUCCCCUUUUUUGUCCCCUAGGCCUAGAUAGCUUUGUUUCCACUUCUGUCUAAUCUGUAUGUAUGGUUUUAUGUAUCUAUAUAACAUCUAGAACCCACAGAAAACAAGCCA
Molecule: long non-coding RNA, 2865 nt
Organism: Mesocricetus auratus (golden hamster)
Lineage: Eukaryota; Metazoa; Chordata; Mammalia; Rodentia; Cricetidae
Exons: 2
Source: RefSeq, a predicted model, not a curated record